GUUGAACGCUGGCGGCAGGCCUAACACAUGCAAGUCGAGCGGAAGAAGGGAGUUUGCAUCUGUAUUUAGCGGCGGACGGGUGGGUAAUGCCUAGGUAUCUGCCUGGCAGUGGGGGCUGAGGUACGGAAACGGGAGCUAAUAUCGUAUAGGUUCGGAGGGAGAGAGUGGGUGUUCUUGGGAUUACAGGCUUUCGGAUGAGCCUGGGUCGGAUUAGCUAGUUGGUGUGGUAAAGGCCUAGCAAGGCGACGAUCCGUAACUGAUCGGAGAGGAUGAUCAGUUACACUGCAACUGAGACACGAUACAGACCCCUACGGUAGGCAACAGAGCGGAAUAUUAGACAAUUGAAGAGAGCCUAAUCCAACCCAGCCGCGUGUCUGAAGAAAGUAUUCGGAUUGUAAAUCUAUUUAAGUUGUAUAGAAGGACAGUAAGUUCAAACCUUGCUGUUUUGACGGUACCAAAAGAAUAAGCACCGGCUAACUCCGUG
Molecule: ribosomal RNA, 484 nt
Filed under: uncultured bacterium
Lineage: Bacteria
Description: partial 16S ribosomal RNA
Rfam family: Bacterial small subunit ribosomal RNA
Source: RNAcentral